This 175-nucleotide ribosomal RNA is filed under the name uncultured Thauera sp. RNAcentral's name for it is "partial 16S ribosomal RNA". It matches the Rfam family "Bacterial small subunit ribosomal RNA", at positions 1212 to 1380 of the family's 1533-position model. Lineage: Bacteria; Pseudomonadati; Pseudomonadota; Betaproteobacteria; Rhodocyclales; Zoogloeaceae. The record is from RNAcentral.
GGCUUCACACGUCAUACAAUGGUCGGUACAGAGGGUUGCCAAGCCGCGAGGUGGAGCCAAUCCCUUAAAGACCGAUCGUAGUCCGGAUCGUAGUCUGCAACUCGACCUACGUGAAGUCGGAAUCGCUAGUAAUCGCAGAUCAGCAUGCUGCGGUGAAUACGUUCCCGGGUCCGUU